This 492-nucleotide ribosomal RNA is filed under the name uncultured bacterium. RNAcentral's name for it is "partial 16S ribosomal RNA". It matches the Rfam family "Bacterial small subunit ribosomal RNA", at positions 29 to 507 of the family's 1533-position model. The record is from RNAcentral.
AGUGAACGCUGGCGGUAGGCCUAACACAUGCAAGUCGAACGGCAGCACAGUAAGAGCUUGCUCUUACGGGUGGCGAGUGGCGGACGGGUGAGGAAUACAUCGGAAUCUACUUUUUCGUGGGGGAUAACGUAGGGAAACUUACGCUAAUACCGCAUACGACCUACGGGUGAAAGCAGGGGAUCUUCGGACCUUGCGCGAUUGAAUGAGCCGAUGUCGGAUUAGCUAGUUGGCGGGGUAAAGGCGCACCAAGGCGACGAUCCGUAGCUGGUCUGAGAGGAUGAUCAGCCACACUGGAACUGAGACACGGCCCAGACUCCUACGGGAGGCAGCAGUGGGGAAUAUUGGACAAUGGGCGCAAGCCUGAUCCAGCCAUACCGCGUGGGUGAAGAAGGCCUUCGGGUUGUAAAGCCCUUUUGUUGGGAAAGAAAAGCAGCAGGUUAAUACCCCGCUGUUCUGACGGUACCCAAAGAAUAAGCACCGGCUAACUUCGUG